CAAUAGCGUAUAUUAAAGUUGUUGCAGUUAAAAAGCUCGUAGUUGGAUUUCUGGUUGAAGCGACCGGUCGGGCGUUGAUUCGUCUGCACUGGAGUCGGUUUUGGCCAUCCUCUAGGAAAGUGCGUCUGGUAUUAAGUUAUCGGGCGUAUGAUCCUGGUCUUUUACUGUGAAAAAAUUAGAGUGUUUAAAGCAGGCCUUCGCCUUGAAUACAUUAGCAUGGAAUAAUAAGAUAGGACUUUGGUCUAUUUUGUUGGUUUGCAGACCGAAGUAAUGAUUAAUAGGGAUAGUUGGGGGUAUUUAUAUUCCGAUGUCAGAGGUGAAAUUCUUAGAUUUUCGGAAGAUAAACUUAUGCGAAAGCAUUUACCAAGGAUGUUUUCAUUA
Molecule: ribosomal RNA, 381 nt
Filed under: uncultured eukaryote
Lineage: Eukaryota
Description: partial 18S ribosomal RNA
Rfam family: Eukaryotic small subunit ribosomal RNA
Source: RNAcentral